RNAcentral lists this long non-coding RNA (398 nucleotides) under Triticum aestivum (bread wheat). RNAcentral describes it as "long non-coding RNA (TAES_LNC005584)". Lineage: Eukaryota; Viridiplantae; Streptophyta; Magnoliopsida; Poales; Poaceae. The record is from RNAcentral.
AUUUAUGCGUGGGUUUUGAUUAACGGGUUUCUAUUAAUAAACUAACAAAGCCGGCUACGCUUCCCAUUUUUUAGGCUGGAUAUGCCCCCGCUUGCCGUACCGAUUUUUCAGCGUGGAUACGUUAAAAGCCGUACCAGCAUUGAAAUCCUAGCCGACUGCAUCAUGUUUCAUUGGGAGCUCAGCCAUGGGGCAUCAAGGUAUACAUCCUCGUUCGUUGAUCAAUCUCGUAGAUCCAUUCUGUCUUCGGUACCCAUGUUUAACUCUGAUCCAUCUCUUUCUCUCUUUGUGCAGUUUUAGCCGGCAUAGUUCAGACUUCAAGUUUGCAUAUCCGACAUGAAAUCUCCAGAGUAAUUAAAUGCGGCCACUCUAGCGCAUGGAAUUUACCACAUCUCCAGGUU